RNAcentral lists this long non-coding RNA (1317 nucleotides) under Canis lupus familiaris (dog). Its description in RNAcentral is "lncRNA (ENSCAFG00040009973.1)". The record is from RNAcentral. Lineage: Eukaryota; Metazoa; Chordata; Mammalia; Carnivora; Canidae.
CCACAGGUGGACGGUCUCCGGGUGGAUGCAGCAGGAGGGAGCAGAUGGAGGGAAAGGAGCCGCCCCAGCACCUCGCAGGAGCUCAGCCCUUCCCCAGGCCAACAGGCCGGAAAGCCCAUUGGAUCAUUGAAUGUCAGAGUAGAAGAGACCACAGACAUCGAAUGAUCAGUUGAAAUAACAGUUUUUCAGCUGAAAAAAAGAGGAAUUCCAGAGUCUUUCAGUGAAGCUCACGGGUCUCACUGGUCCCUUGGCGGCGCCCUUCCCAGAGUUCUUUCAAGGUCUGUGACCCUCUCGAAGCCAGGUUCCGGGAGGGGUUUUUACCUUUGCCCGGUCCCUGGCAGUGCUGGAACUGCCGUCCGAUUCAUUUCAUCUCUCGAUUUGGCGGAGUAUUCGGAAGGGGCGAGAGAUGAGGCGUGAAGGGAGGGACGCGCGCGGCCACGCUCCCCGCAGGACGCGGCUCCGGACCCGGCGUCGGGGCUCCGCGGGACCCAGGUGUUCCCGAGGGGAAGAAACUGGCAGAAAGUGGACGCCUCCGCCCGCUGCCCCCCCCCCCCCACACACACACACAGGUAACGGCACCACAGCUGCCUUCCGCACACGCGGCUCCCGGCGCCAACGCCAACGCCUCCGCGCCCUCCGGGACCCUCCGACCCCGGCUCAAGCUCCUCCCCGCCCGCGGGCCCCGGCGGGAGCGGCGGCGGCGGCGGCGGGGAGCGGGGAGCGGGGAGCGGGCCGCGCUCGCUGCCAUUGGCUGUGCGGCCCGAGGGGCGGGGGCCCCGCAGUCCCGCCGGCUCCGCGGCCCCGGCUCCCGCCCGCCCUCCCGCAGCCGGUGCGCUCGAGCCCUGCGCUCCCCGGACGGCCGCGCGGGGGCGGGGCGCCGAGGCGGGGGCGGGGGCGGGGCGCGGCGGGGCGCGGGCGGGGCGCGGGCGGGGAGCUCAGCGCAGCUCCAGUCCGGGCCGGGCCGGCGCGCCGCGGGAGGGGAGGUCGCCGCGCGCGGGCUCGCAGGCUCCGCGGGUCGGCGGUCGCGAUCCUCGGGAGGACCCGGCGGGGCUGCGCAGGGCCGCGGCCCCGGGACGACCCGCUCCUGUCCCGGACACAGCCGGGAGGAUCUGCCCUCGCGAGCGCUGCUGCAAGCAUUGAUUCCGCCGUCAAGUGGUCGUCUGUCCCCUCCGGGCACUCCCCGCGUGCACUGCCGGCCUUGCACCUUCGCGCGCCCGCAGAGCCUUUGCACCCGUCUUAGGUGCUUCAAAUCCGGGCAGAAUGCUCUGAAGAGAUUGACACAUGUUCAUGGUUCUCAUUAAAGAAGCUUCAUGUAAG